This 1434-nucleotide ribosomal RNA is filed under the name Triticum aestivum (bread wheat). Its description in RNAcentral is "partial small subunit ribosomal RNA". Lineage: Eukaryota; Viridiplantae; Streptophyta; Magnoliopsida; Poales; Poaceae. The record is from RNAcentral.
AUGGAGCUCAUUGUGCUCCUUGUCCUUUUUCUCUUGGGCUUGAUCGUACUGAUCAGGCGGCGUAGCUACACCUACACUACUAGUACCAGACGUGCCCGUGCUCCAGCUGCUGUGGUGAUCGAGAAGAUCGCCGAUCAUGCCGUCGCCCACCGUGCGCUCGUCGAGAACGCCGACGACUUCUCGGACCGCCCGGUGGCGCCCUUUCUGGUCUUCCUGGAGAAGAGACACGGCCAGUACGGCGACGGCCUAGCCUCCGCGCCGUACGGCCCUCUCUGGCGUGCUUUCCGGUGCAACAUCACCUCCGAGACCCUCCACCCGUCGCGCCUCGGGCACGUCACGCCGCUGCAGCGGGAGGCCAUCCAUGGCCUCGUCGCCAAUUUGGGGAAGGAACUGCCGGUGGUCGCCGUAGUCCGCGAGCACCUCUACCCUUCCAUCUUCUCGGUACUCGCGCGCCUGUGCUUCGGCGACGGCGUGGACGAGGGGCAUGUGCGCGCCAUGGGCUGCUUGAUACGGGAGUUCCAGCAGGUCGCCGUGGGAGAGGCUCGGGCCUCCCCUGGCACCAUGUUGGCCAAGCUCGCGGAGUGGAGACGAUUGCGCCGGCUCUUGGCCAUACACGGCCGGUUGGGCGAGCUGUACCUCCCUCUUGUCGAUGCACGGCGGGAGUCUCGACCGACAUGCGACGGUGGCGGCCGUCGUCCAUACGUCGACUCGCUCAUCGACCUACGCGUCCCCGACGGAGGCAAGGGUGACGGUGCCGGCCGGCGCGCAGUCAGGGACGACGAGUUCGUGAACCUGCUGUCAGAGUUUCUGGGCGCUGGCACGGGGACGGUGAUGGCAAGCCUGGAAUGGACCCUCGCCCACCUGGUAAACGACCAGGAGAUCCAGAAAAAGCUUCGGGACGAGGUCGACGGCGCCGGCGGGGCCGUGAUCUCCAGCUCCAGCAGCAGGAGCCUCAUGCGUGGCAUGCCGUAUCUGAACGCGGUCGUGCUCGAGACCCUCCGCUUGCAUCCACAGGUGCCCUUCGUCCAGCGCCACGUCCAUGCCGACGCGGCCGAGGUGCUCGGAGUCGGAGGAAAAACCAGCGGUUUCAUUGCACAGUUCACGGUUGGAGACAUGGGAAGGGACGGCAAGACGUGGACGGACCCCGACGAGUUCCGGCCAGAGCGGUUCCUUCCCGGCGGUGAGGCAGAGGACGUCGGCCCUUUGCCGGGGACCAAGGAGAUAAGGAUGAUGCCUUUCGGCGCCGGGCAUAGGUUCUGCCCGGGCGUGGGUCUGGCCAUGAUGAACAUCAAGUGCUUCCUGGCUGCGCUUGUGCAUGAGUUCGAAUGGGCGCUGCCGACGGAGGGCUGUGCCGGCGUCGACCUGACGGAGCUCAACACCUUCAUCAAGGCGAUGAAGAAGCCACUUUCCGCACGUCUCACGCGACGCACUUAA